CCAUUGAGUCCCCUCCACCCCCAGGAGGCCACACCGCUCUCGAUAUUCUGUCCUGCCUUCUCCCAUACAUCAAUGCGAACAUGUGCGACUGUGUGUCCCAGCUGUGGGCUCUGAAUCUGGUCUCAUGGCUUUAAAUAACCCCAGGCAACAAUGACCCCCAGAUUUCUAUCUCCAGCCCGGACAUUCCUGAUUCUAGACUUAUAUAGACCACUGCUCACUUGCAUCUCCAUCUAAGUGUCUAACAGACACAUCAGACUCAUCAAGUCCGAACAGAGUUCUUCACCUUCUCCACCCACCCAACAUGUCUUGCCCAUAGC
RNAcentral lists this long non-coding RNA (317 nucleotides) under Pan troglodytes (chimpanzee). Its description in RNAcentral is "long non-coding RNA NONPTRT002973". The record is from RNAcentral. Lineage: Eukaryota; Metazoa; Chordata; Mammalia; Primates; Hominidae.